UACGAAGGGGGCUAGCGUUGUUCGGAAUCACUGGGCGUAAAGCGCACGCAGGCGGAUUGAUAAGUCGGGGGUGAAAUCCCGGGGCUCAACCUCGGAAUUGCCUUCGAUACUGUCUGUCUUGAGUCCGGGAGAGGUGAGUGGAAUUCCUAGUGUAGAGGUGAAAUUCGUAGAUAUUAGGAAGAACACCAGUGGCGAAGGCGGCUCACUGGCCCGGUACUGACGCUCAUGUGCGAAAGCGUGGGGAGCGAACAGG
Molecule: ribosomal RNA, 253 nt
Filed under: uncultured bacterium
Lineage: Bacteria
Description: partial 16S ribosomal RNA
Rfam family: Bacterial small subunit ribosomal RNA
Source: RNAcentral